AGUUUGAUCCUGGCUCAGAACGAACGCUGGCGGCGUGUUUAAGACAUGCAAGUCGAACGGGUUGAAGUUGUAGCAAUACCGCUUCAACCAGUGGCGCACGGGUGCGUAACACGUGAGUUACAUGCCCUGCAGUGGGGAAUAGCCCGCCGAAAGGCGGAUUAAUACCCCAUGGUUCCCGCAAGGGUAAAGGUGGCCGCAAGGCUGCCGCUGCAGGAUUGGCUCGCGGCCUAUCAGCUUGUUGGUGAGGUAACGGCUCACCAAGGCAACGACGGGUACCUGGUCUGAGAGGAUGAUCAGGCACACUGGAACUGAGACACGGUCCAGACACCUACGGGUGGCAGCAGUCGAGAAUAAUUCACAAUGGGCGAAAGCCUGAUGGUGCAACGCCGCGUGGAGGAUGAAGGUCUUCGGAUUGUAAACUCCUGUCAUCGGGGAGUAAGACCUGGGCGUGAAUAGCGCACAGGGUUGAUAGUACCCGAAGAGGAAGGGACGGCUAACUUCGUGCCAGCAGCCGCGGUAAUACGAAGGUCCCAAGCGUUGUUCGGAAUCACUGGGCGUAAAGGGAGCGUAGGCGGCGUGGUAAGUCAGAUGUGAAAUCCCGGGGCUCAACCCCGGAACUGCAUCCGAUACUGCCGUGCUUGAG
Molecule: ribosomal RNA, 643 nt
Filed under: uncultured bacterium
Lineage: Bacteria
Description: bacterial SSU rRNA
Rfam family: Bacterial small subunit ribosomal RNA
Source: RNAcentral